CCUACGGGAGGCAGCAGUGGGGAAUCUUGCGCAAUGGGCGAAAGCCUGACGCAGCCAUGCCGCGUGAAUGAUGAAGGUCUUAGGAUUGUAAAAUUCUUUCACCGGGGACGAUAAUGACGGUACCCGGAGAAGAAGCCCCGGCUAACUUCGUGCCAGCAGCCGCGGUAAUACGAAGGGGGCUAGCGUUGCUCGGAAUUACUGGGCGUAAAGGGAGCGUAGGCGGAUAGUUUAGUCAGAGGUGAAAGCCCAGGGCUCAACCUUGGAAUUGCCUUUGAUACUGGCUAUCUUGAGUGUGGGAGAGGUAUGUGGAACUCCGGGUGUAGAGGUGAAAUUCGUAGAUAUUCGGAAGAACACCAGUGGCGAAGGCGACAUACUGGCCCAUUACUGACGCUGAGGCUCGAAAGCGUGGGGAGCAAACAGGAUUAGAUACCCUGGUAGUCCACGCUGUAAACGAUGAGUGCUAGUUGUCGGCAUGCAUGCAUGUCGGUGACGCAGCUAACGCAUUAAGCACUCCGCCUGGGGAGUACGGUCGCAAGAUUAAAACUCAAAGGAAUUGACGG
RNAcentral lists this ribosomal RNA (560 nucleotides) under uncultured bacterium. RNAcentral describes it as "bacterial SSU rRNA". It matches the Rfam family "Bacterial small subunit ribosomal RNA", at positions 338 to 916 of the family's 1533-position model. The record is from RNAcentral.